Molecule: ribosomal RNA, 719 nt
Filed under: uncultured Planctomycetota bacterium
Lineage: Bacteria; Pseudomonadati; Planctomycetota
Description: bacterial SSU rRNA
Rfam family: Bacterial small subunit ribosomal RNA
Source: RNAcentral
GAGCACGUAGGUGGGUUUGUAAGUCAGACGUGAAAGCCUUCUGUUCAACGGAAGAAUUGCAUCUGAAACUACAAACCUUGGGUGUAGGAGGGGAGAAUGGAACUUCUGGUGGAGCGGUGAAAUGCGUAGAUAUCAGAAGGAACGCCGGCGGCGAAAGCGAUACUCUGGCCUAUUACUGACACUCAGUGUGCGAAAGCUAGGGGAGCAAACGGGAUUAGAUACCCCGGUAGUCCUAGCCGUAAACGAUGGGCACUAAGUAGAGGGAAUUACCGAUGUUCUCUCUGCCGUAGCUAACGCAUUAAGUGCCCCGCCUGGGGAGUACGGCCGCAAGGCUAAAACUCAAAAGAAUUGACGGGGGCUCGCACAAGCGGUGGAGCAUGUGGCUUAAUUCGAUGCAACGCGAAAAACCUUACCGGGGCUUGACAUGGUAGAAGUAGGAACCCGAAAGGGUAACGAACGGUAUCCAGUCCGUGACUAUCACAGGUGUUGCAUGGCUGUCGUCAGCUCGUGUCGUGAGACGUUGGGUUAAGUCCCCUAACGAGCGAAACCCUUGUUUUUAGUUGCCAGCGGGUUAUGCCGGGCACUCUAGAAAGACUGCCGUCGUCAAGACGGAGGAAGGUGGGGAUGACGUCAAGUCAUCAUGGCCCUUAUGCCCCGGACUGCACACGUGCUACAAUGGCCGGUACAAACGGAAGCGAAGCCGAGAGGUGAAGCGAAUC